CCUACGGGGUGCUGCAGUGGGGGAUAUUGCACAAUGGGGGAAACCCUGAUGCAGCGACGCCGCGUGGGUGAAGAAGCGCCUCGGCGCGUAAAGCCCUGUCAGCAGGGAAGAAAAUGACGGUACCUGAAGAAGAAGCCCCGGCUAACUACGUGCCAGCAGCCGCGGUAAUACGUAGGGGGCAAGCGUUAUCCGGAUUUACUGGGUGUAAAGGGGGCGCAGACGGCGAUGCAAGCCAGAAGUGAAAGCCCGGGGCCCAACCCCGGGACUGCUCGUGGAACUGCGUGGCUAGAGUGCAGGAGGGGCAGGCGGAAUUCCUGGUGUAGCGGUGAAAUGCGUAGAUAUCAGGAGGAACACCGGUGGCGAAGGCGGCCUGCUGGACUGCAACUGACGUUGAGGCCCGAAAGCGUGGGGAGCAAACAGGAUUAGAUACCCUAGUAGUC
This 440-nucleotide ribosomal RNA is filed under the name uncultured bacterium. RNAcentral describes it as "partial 16S ribosomal RNA". It matches the Rfam family "Bacterial small subunit ribosomal RNA", at positions 338 to 795 of the family's 1533-position model. The record is from RNAcentral.